Cyprinus carpio (common carp) is the source of this 3613-nucleotide long non-coding RNA. The record is from Ensembl. Lineage: Eukaryota; Metazoa; Chordata; Actinopteri; Cypriniformes; Cyprinidae.
UCAGGGUGACGAUUCUGUGUACAGCAGCUCUGCCGGUUCAGAGGAAUACUCCAGCCUGCUUCAUCAUCCUUCAUCCUGCUGCAGAAUGACCCGCUUGGAUCCACCAUCGCACCAGGCAAGCCCCCGUGGCUGGACGGAGGUGUCUCAAAGUGGCCGUGAUGGUUUUGGGAAGUUCAGUUUUUCUCACGGCAGUGUGACGGAACGGAGGGAAUGGGAGAGUGAAUAUUUCUCUCUGGGAAGGGCUGUGGGCAGCAGAGCUUUCUGUGAUCAAAGCCCUUCUACUCCCUAUCGGCAUUCAGAGAGAGGGCAUCCCCUGCCUAGCAACAAAAGCCCCGAACCCAAAGCCACCAUUCCAUUUCGGAACCCGAAUCUGGGCGUCCCUUCGGAAAGGAGAACCUCUGAGUUCCAGAAUGCAGAGCAGCUUGCAGAAAACUAUCCUCCGCAGUAUCCUCCAGAACCGCUGGAUCUCGGCCUGGAGGUUGAGGCCCUCGCAGGUCCCCGGGCCCUGAGUCCCACCCCUUUCAAGCAAGCUGAAUCUUUCGGGGCCUCCAGUCGAAGAGGUGGACGAAAUGCCCACACGUCUCCCUUACGGAAAUCGGGAAUACUUAACUCUUCCCAAAGAGGUUCUGGCCUCUCCUGUUCCUCCUCUCCCUCCCAUAGUACCUCCCCGUUCAGACGGGCCGAGUCCAGCGGCUCUCUCAACACGGUUGGCUUUUGGUCUAGUGGAGAUUCACACGGACAGGAUCGGCCAUCGGUCAGCCUGGCACGGAGCAGUUACUCUGGAAACCUCAGAUCGUUUGCAAGCACUGUGGGCAGCGUCAGUAGCAUUAAUAAGUCUCUGUCGUACAUGGAUCUGAGAGGCACUUUGCAGAAACCCGAGACCAACAGCUCCUUCAUUGGGUCUACAGAGAACCGUGGAAGCUUGUCCCCUUCCAGACGGAGUUAUGACAGUCCUGCUGUUAGGAAAACUGAAACAAAAAGCCCUUCUUACGAGCGUGGCCACAACAGACAGAGUGCCUUCUCCUCAGUGGGCCGCCAUGAUUCAAGAAGCCAGUCCCCUUCCAGACAGAGUUAUGAUAGCCCUGCUGUUAGGAAAACUGAAAUGAAAAACCCUUCUUAUGAGUGUGGUCAUGACAGACAGGGUUUCUCCUCCUCCUCCUUGAAGAGCCGCUAUGAUUCCAGAAGCCAGUCCCCUGUGGGGAAGCUGGAGACAAAUGGCUCAUCAAGUCAGAUUCAAGAGGGUCGACGAAGUGCGUCUCCAGUCAGAAAGGGCUACGGAACACCAAGCCAAUCGGAUAGAAGAUCCAUGUCUAAUGGAUUGAGUUAUGACAGAAAAAGCCCCUCCUCACCCAGAAAAGGCUAUGAAAUGCAAAGCCAAGCCACAAUGAAGAAACCAGAGACAAAGAGCUCCCUUCACAGCUACAACCUAGACAGCCGACACUCUUCCCCAAGUAGAGGUCAUCACCAAAACCCUGGCCCAUCAUCGCUUCGUAAGUCCGAAACAAGCCAGUCCUCAUUAAACAUUGGUCCCAAGAGCCACAGUCCCUCCCCCUUAGCUCAUAUCCAAUCUCUUCCUCACAAGUCAGAGAGUGGUCAGAGUCCCUCUGUGUCUACAUUGAGGCGUGAGAUUGCAGACCACAUCUCUCUGAGGAACACUGUGAGUGACAGAACUGGCUCCACCUCUUAUGUAAGAAACACCCUGAGUAGCCAAUCACAGCAUGAUUCAAACCCUUCAUCAGGCCGCUGGAGAGGCUCCACCCACUCUCUCCACAGCCAGUCAGUCUCACGUAACUCCUCCCCAUCACGCCACAGCAGCGAGAAGAAACAAAUCAGCUCCUUUACCAAAUCUGCCCUUGUUGCCUGGGAAACGCCACAAGACGGAAACAAGAAGAGCAGCAUAAGGCAGAACCCAGAGGUACAAAGCUCCACGCCCAACAGUCGACAGGCACAGAGCCGACAGAGAAGCCCCUCCGCUCCGGUCCAAAGACACACGUCUUCUCAGAGCUCCAUGGACUCUGAGUCAAGCCAUCUCUCGGCCGGGUCAUUGGGCCUCAACCGGGAGGAAAAUGCCAUGAUGGCUGACCUUCCCAAGGCCAAAACGGUCUUCCAGAGGGAGGGUCCGAGCCACCUGAGGAAGAUUGAGAGCAGUCAGAAACAAGAACUUUCCCGCUACAAACCAGCCAGUCACUCCCAGAGCAAAGCUCCUCACUUGGGAUGGGACAAACUAAAGGAUGAAAGAGACAGUGGUACACUAUUAAGGGCUCACUCGUCCAGCUCCCUACACACACAGAGAGCCAGCAGUCCGGCCGCGGAGCAGACUCAGUCCGGCAGAGCAUCAGGACAGAAGCAGGUGCAGUAAUGCCACCGUCUGCCUGCGGAGGCGCUGUGGGUUCACCGCUGCUCACUGUGUGUUUGCGCUGCUGAAAGCGCACAGGCCGUCCGUGUAUUUCUCCUGCAGCGUAGAAACAGACCGAUGAAGAACCAAUGCAACAGGCACGUCAUGACCACACGACACUCACCAUUAAAGAGACCGUUCACUCACAAUUAAAAACUCUCGAUAACAUUUACUCACCACAUUGUUGUACCAAACCCGUAUGACUUUCUUUGUUUCAUAGAGCACAAAAGGAAAUUCGAGGCAGAAUGACAGCUGGGUGAAGUAUCGAUUCUCACAUAAAAAUAUUGAACCUAAAGUGCAUUUUUAAUCAUUAAUUUUAUUAACUUAGCAAGAAAUUUGGUGCAUAAAAUAAUAAUAAUUCUAAGUGGAAAAACGUAAUAUUAGCAAAUAAUAAGUGUAGGAUAGAACUAUUUCUCCCACUCAUCAGAACCAAGUGGCCACCUCGCGCUCUCUCUCGUGAAGCCAAUAAGGAAGUGACUUAAACUGUAAUUCAUCGACUGGCCACUAAAGGCUGGCUGCAAAAGGGAGUCAGUCCCAAAGACUCCCUAUGUUAAAAUGCCCAACUUUACAGCAGAAAAAAACAUGUUUACAGUCUGGUUCAAAACAUGAUUUUGGUCUAUAUAGCUAAUAUUGCCCUUCAUGACAACUGUGAGGGGGGGUGAAUUUUUUUAUAACUAAUCUGUUUAAAUUAUAUUAAGUCUUACAGUUCUGCAUAAUUAAGGGCGUGGCCACUUGAGUGACAGGUGGAUUGCCGCUGCUGACACCCCCGUCGAGAUAGGUGGGCGUGGCUUCAGCAACCAGCUCCUGCCUUUUUGCCCAUUUUCCAAGAUGGUGACGGCCCGCUCCGCCCACUUUGAGCUUCAGAAACACUCUUCAGAAAUCAAUGGAUGACGUCACAGACACUACGUCCAUGUUUUAAAGUCUAUGAUCGGAAAAUACGCAAAUUCCGAAAGACAGAACCAAUCAAUUACAGACAGCGCUCGCUGCUGACGCUUUGCUCACAGUGUUUGUUCAAAUAGGGCUGUGUUUCCCAAAAGUUAUUUUUAGUUGUUAUAUUUCUCUAUAUUGCUGAUUUUACUGUAUUUUUAUUAAAAUAAGUGCAGCCUUGGUUAUCUUGUACAUGUAAUAUUUAUUUUAAUUAUGCUGUGCAAGUAAUUAUAUUUAAUCUGGUUGUUAAAAGUUAUUUUCUGUAAUUGCUGUUAAUAAAUCUAUCAGAAA